RNAcentral lists this ribosomal RNA (253 nucleotides) under uncultured bacterium. Its description in RNAcentral is "partial 16S ribosomal RNA". It matches the Rfam family "Bacterial small subunit ribosomal RNA", at positions 524 to 776 of the family's 1533-position model. The record is from RNAcentral.
UACGGAGGGUGCGAGCGUUAAUCGGAAUUACUGGGCGUAAAGGGUGCGUAGGUGGUUUGUUGAGUUAUCUGUGAAAUACCUGGGCUUAACCUGGGCAGGUCAGGUAAUACUGAUGGACUCGAGUAUGGGAGAGGGUAGUGGAAUUUCCGGUGUAGCGGUGAAAUGCGUAGAGAUCGGAAGGAACACCAGUGGCGAAGGCGGCUACCUGGCCUAAUACUGACACUGAGGCACGAAAGCGUGGGGAGCAAACAGG